AAGUAAAUUUUUUCAAUUUUCCAAUAGGGAGGAAAAGAAACCAACAGGGAUUGCCUCAGUAGCGGCGAGUGAAGCGGCAAGAGCUCAGAUUUGAAAUCGUGCUUUGCGGCACGAGUUGUAGAUUGCAGGUUGGAGUCUGUGUGGAAGGCGGUGUCCAAGUCCCUUGGAACAGGGCGCCCAGGAGGGUGAGAGCCCCGUGGGAUGCCGGCGGAAGCAGUGAGGCCCUUCUGACGAGUCGAGUUGUUUGGGAAUGCAGCUCCAAGCGGGUGGUAAAUUCCAUCUAAGGCUAAAUACUGGCGAGAGACCGAUAGCGAACAAGUACUGUGAAGGAAAGAUGAAAAGCACUUUGAAAAGAGAGUGAAACAGCACGUGAAAUUGUUGAAAGGGAAGGGUAUUGCGCCCGACAUGGGGAUUGCGCACCGCUGCCUCUCGUGGGCGGCGCUCUGGGCUUUCCCUGGGCCAGCAUCGGUUCUUGCUGCAGGAGAAGGGGUUCUGGAACGUGGCUCUUCGGAGUGUUAUAGCCAGGGCCAGAUGCUGCGUGCGGGGACCGAGGACUGCGGCCGUGUAGGUCACGGAUGCUGGCAGAACGGCGCAACACCGCCCGUCUUGAAACCCCGGGACCAAAAAUUUUU
RNAcentral lists this ribosomal RNA (632 nucleotides) under Pichia kudriavzevii. Its description in RNAcentral is "partial large subunit ribosomal RNA". It matches the Rfam family "Eukaryotic large subunit ribosomal RNA", at positions 1 to 677 of the family's 3401-position model. The record is from RNAcentral. Lineage: Eukaryota; Fungi; Ascomycota; Pichiomycetes; Pichiales; Pichiaceae.